GAAGUAAAAAGUCGUAACAAGGUCUCCGUUGGUGAACCAGCGGAGGGAUCAUUACCGAGUUUACAACUCCCAAACCCCUGUGAACAUACCAAUUGUUGCCUCGGCGGAUCAGCCCGCUCCCGGUAAAACGGGACGGCCCGCCAGAGGACCCCUAAACUCUGUUUCUAUAUGUAACUUCUGAGUAAAACCAUAAAUAAAUCAAAACUUUCAACAACGGAUCUCUUGGUUCUGGCAUCGAUGAAGAACGCAGCAAAAUGCGAUAAGUAAUGUGAAUUGCAGAAUUCAGUGAAUCAUCGAAUCUUUGAACGCACAUUGCGCCCGCCAGUAUUCUGGCGGGCAUGCCUGUUCGAGCGUCAUUUCAACCCUCAAGCCCAGCUUGGUGUUGGGACUCGCGAGUCAAAUCGCGUUCCCCAAAUUGAUUGGCGGUCACGUCGAGCUUCCAUAGCGUAGUAGUAAAACCCUCGUUACUGGUAAUCGUCGCGGCCACGCCGUUAAACCCCAACUUCUGAAUGUUGACCUCGGAUCAGGUAGGAAUACCCGCUGAACCUAAGCAUAUCA
Molecule: unclassified non-coding RNA, 558 nt
Filed under: Fusarium musae
Lineage: Eukaryota; Fungi; Ascomycota; Sordariomycetes; Hypocreales; Nectriaceae
Description: sequence contains 18S rRNA gene, ITS1, 5.8S rRNA gene, ITS2, 28S rRNA gene
Rfam family: 5.8S ribosomal RNA (bases 203-356)
Source: RNAcentral